RNAcentral lists this ribosomal RNA (434 nucleotides) under uncultured Ruminococcus sp. RNAcentral describes it as "partial 16S ribosomal RNA". It matches the Rfam family "Bacterial small subunit ribosomal RNA", at positions 341 to 792 of the family's 1533-position model. Lineage: Bacteria; Bacillati; Bacillota; Clostridia; Eubacteriales; Oscillospiraceae. The record is from RNAcentral.
ACGGAAGGCAGCAGUGGGGAAUAUUGCACAAUGGGCGCAAGCCUGAUGCAGCGAUGCCGCGUGAGGGAAGAAGGUUUUCGGAUUGUAAACCUCUGUCAACAGGGACGAAAAUGACGGUACCUGUGAAGGGAGCUCCGGCUAACUACGUGCCAGCAGCCGCGGUAGUACGUAGGGAGCAAGCGUUAUCCGGAAUUACUGGGUGUAAAGGGAGUGUAGGCGGGACUGUAAGUCAGAUGUGAAAUAUGCCGGCUCAACUGGCAGACUGCAUUUGAAACUGCGGUUCUUGAGUGAAGUAGAGGUAAGCGGAAUUCCUAGUGUAGCGGUGAAAUGCGUAGAUAUUAGGAGGAACAUCAGUGGCGAAGGCGGCUUACUGGGCUUUAACUGACGCUGAGGCUCGAAAGCGUGGGGAGCAAACAGGAUUAGAUACCCUGGUA